GAUGAACGCUGGCGGCGUGCCUAAUACAUGCAAGUCGAGCGAACGGACGAGAAGCUUGCUUCUCUGAUGUUAGCGGCGGACGGGUGAGUAACACGUGGAUAACCUACCUAUAAGACUGGGAUAACUUCGGGAAACCGGAGCUAAUACCGGAUAAUAUAUUGAACCGCAUGGUUCAAAAGUAAAAGACGGUCUUGCUGUCACUUAUAGAUGGAUCCGCGCCGCAUUAGCUAGUUGGUAAGGUAACGGCUUACCAAGGCAACGAUGCAUAGCCGACCUGAGAGGGUGAUCGGCCACACUGGAACUGAGACACGGUCCAGACUCCUACGGGAGGCAGCAGUAGGGAAUCUUCCGCAAUGGGCGAAAGCCUGACGGAGCAACGCCGCGUGAGUGAUGAAGGUCUUCGGAUCGUAAAACUCUGUUAUUAGGGAAGAACAAAUGUGUAAGUAACUAUGCACAUCUUGACGGUACCUAAUCAGAAAGCCACGGCUAACUACGUG
Molecule: ribosomal RNA, 497 nt
Filed under: uncultured bacterium
Lineage: Bacteria
Description: partial 16S ribosomal RNA
Rfam family: Bacterial small subunit ribosomal RNA
Source: RNAcentral